GUCGGUAGGUUCCUUGUUCUAGUAUAGAUGGAGGUAGUUUGUGUUAGUUGUGUGAUGUCAGUAGGUUCCUUGUUCUAGUAUGGAUGGAGGUAGUUUGUGUUGGGUGUGUGAUGUUGUUGGUAGGUUCCUUGUUCUAGUAUAGAUGGAGGUAGUUUGUGUUGGUUGUGUGAUGUUGUCGGUAGGUUCCUUGUUCUAAUAUAGAUGGAGGUAGCUUGUGU
This 218-nucleotide long non-coding RNA is filed under the name Pelobates cultripes (western spadefoot toad). Lineage: Eukaryota; Metazoa; Chordata; Amphibia; Anura; Pelobatidae. The record is from RNAcentral.